UCGCAUGGAAGACAGAGUGCUUAUGCCAAUGAGUGUGCGGGAGGAUGGCUGAGGAGUGCAGCUCUGGACUGUGAUGAGACACCACUUUGCACCCACUGAGUUGGAAGCCUGGGCCGCUCUGUAAGGUGUCUGCUGGGGCCCCCACGUGUGUUAGAGACAUCCUCGAAGGGAGGGCUGGGUCCUGCAGACAAGCAGGUUGCGGGACUGUUGAGCUGGAAACCUUUUGGCGUACGUGUCAAUACGGUCUCAUUAGUACCCACUGAGCGACGAAGCUUGGGAGAUUGAGGUGAAACUGGGAAUUUUUUAAACAGUGUUUUCCCCGCACUGACUCUGGUGCUUUUAGAUGUCAGAUGCGGAGUGACUGACAGAUCAGGUGACAUGUCUCAAAUCUCUCUACAGAUGAGUAAUCGAAUAAGAAACUAGUGGCCAGAAGCAUGGUUUCGUCCCCGUUUUCCCACUACAACCCUCUCCCGGGCCGCACAUGCUCCAUCAUUACCAUCAUAAUCUCCGUCCCUGAUCUUUGGCCAGAAGGAAGCCCUGUUGGAGAAGCUAUUUUCUGAACAUCCCUUUAUACCCCGAUUUCACAACAUGCAGACAUUUAGGUGGAGAGACUGGACUUCAUGCCCUCAUGGCAGCUGUAAUUUGGAAGUCAAAUGCAGCAGGGCACACUUAGAGCUGAUCCGUGAUUCCCGCACAGAGAGCCAAGAAGGUCCCACUGUUCCAGAAGGUGCCCUCAUUCCAGAAGGUCCAGUCAUUCCAGAAGGUCCCACCGUUCCAGAAGUUCCCACCAUUCCAGAAGAUUCCACCAUUCCAGAAGAUCCCACCAUUCCAGAAGAUCCCACCAUUCCAGAAGGUCCCACCGUUCCAGAAGGUCCCACAGUUCCAGAGGUCCAGUCAUUCCCCUCUGUAAUGAACCCACGCUCUGUCCCAGUGCCCUGCAAACACAGAUCUGCUUUUCAUCAUUGGUUUGGCCUUUUUAAGAAUUGUAGCCAAAUGGAGUCUUACAGUAUUUAGUCUCUUCUUUUUUUACACCUAAUAUAACACUUUGAAGAGCCAUCCAUAUUGCCAUGCUGACGUUGGUGUAAGUAGUCGGUUCCUUUUAUUUCAGUGUAGUAUUCCGGGGUAUGUAGAUGCCACUGAUACGGUUUGGUUUUGUGUUACCACUCAAAUCUCAUCUUGAAUUGUAAUCCCCAUACCACCCCCCCAUGUCAAGGGAGAGACCAGAUGAAGGUAACUGAAUCGUGGGGACAGUUUCCCCCAUGCUGUUUUCAUGGUAGUGAGUUGUCACGGGAUCUCAUGGUUUUAUAAGGGGCUCUUCCCCCUUCACCUGGCGUUUCUCCUUUCUGCUGUCAUAUAAAGAAGGUGCCUUGCCUCCUCUUCGCCUUCCCUCGUGAUUGUAAGUUUCCUGAGGCCUUCUCAGACAUGCUGAACUGUGAGUUGAUUAAACCUUUUGCCUUUAUGAAUUACCCAGUCUCGGCAGUUCUUUAUAGCAGCAUGAAAAUGGACCACUGCAGCCACAAUGUGUUUAUUCACUCACCAGGUGGUAGCGAGGUUGUUUCCCUUGCCCAUUAUGAACAAAGCGUCUGUAAACACAUGAGCAGGUGUGCACUAUGGAAGACAGCACGGAGAUUCCUUAAAGAAUUAAAAGCAGAACUACUACUUGAUCCAGCAAUCCCACCCCUAGGUACCUGCCCAGAGGAAAAGAAGUCGUUAUAUGCAACAGACACUCGCACACGUCUGUGUAGCAGCACAGUUUCCAGUCAUGGAAACAGACCCAGCCUAAAUGCCCACACACCAGCCAGCAGAUAAAGACAAUGUGUACAUAUAUACCAUGGAGAUCCUACUCAGCCACAAAGCAGAAUGAAACCAUGGCUUCUGCGGCAACUUGAAUGGAGUUGGAGGCCAUUAUUCUAAAUGAGGUAACUCAGAAAUGGAAAACCAAAUAUCGUAUGUCCUCACUUACAAGUGGGAGCUAAACUAUGAGAAUGACAAAGCCUGAGAAUGAUGAGGUGGGGAAGGGUGGAAGCAGGGUGAGGGCUAAAAGGUCACAUGUUGGGUGCAGUGUACACUGCUAGGGUGAUGAGCGCACCAAAAUCUCAGAAAUCUCCACUGAAGAACUUACCCAUGUAA
Molecule: long non-coding RNA, 2130 nt
Organism: Callithrix jacchus (white-tufted-ear marmoset)
Lineage: Eukaryota; Metazoa; Chordata; Mammalia; Primates; Cebidae
Source: Ensembl